GAUGAAGAACGCAGCGAAAUGCGAUAAGUAAUGUGAAUUGCAGAAUUCAGUGAAUCAUCGAAUCUUUGAACGCACAUUGCGCCCGCCAGUAUUCUGGCGGGCAUGCCUGUCUGAGCGUCAUUUCAACCCUCAUGCCCCUAGGGCGUGGUGUUGGGGAUCGGCCAAAGCCCGCGAGGGACGGCCGGCCCCUAAAUCUAGUGGCGGACCCGUCGUGGCCUCCUCUGCGAAGUAGUGAUAUUCCGCAUCGGAGAGCGAUGAGCCCCUGCCGUUAAACCCCCAACUUUCCAAGGUUGACCUCAGAUCAAGUAGGAAUACCCGCUGAACUUAAGCAUAUCAAUAAGCGGAGGA
RNAcentral lists this unclassified non-coding RNA (348 nucleotides) under soil metagenome. RNAcentral describes it as "partial contains 5.8S ribosomal RNA, internal transcribed spacer 2, and large subunit ribosomal RNA". The stretch from base 1 to 120 matches the Rfam family "5.8S ribosomal RNA", at positions 35 to 154 of the family's 154-position model. The record is from RNAcentral.